Meriones unguiculatus (Mongolian gerbil) is the source of this 126-nucleotide small nucleolar RNA. Lineage: Eukaryota; Metazoa; Chordata; Mammalia; Rodentia; Muridae. The record is from Ensembl.
GGUGCUUGAGUGUUGUUUUGGUCAAAUGGCAGAAAAAGUCACAGACAAUUAUAGGAAUAAAUCCUCUUUUAUAACCCAGGACUCAUUGUUCAGUGUGAGUUUUGAUACAUAUGAAAAAGGAAUAUG